This 467-nucleotide ribosomal RNA is filed under the name uncultured bacterium. Its description in RNAcentral is "partial 16S ribosomal RNA". It matches the Rfam family "Bacterial small subunit ribosomal RNA", at positions 28 to 506 of the family's 1533-position model. The record is from RNAcentral.
GACGAACGCUGGCGGCGUGCUUAACACAUGCAAGUCGAACGGAAAGGCCCUGCUUUUGUGGGGUGCUCGAGUGGCGAACGGGUGAGUAACACGUGAGUAACCUGCCCUGGACUUUGGGAUAACUUCAGGAAACUGGGGCUAAUACCGGAUAGGAGCUCCUGCUGCAUGGUGGGGGUUGGAAAGUUUCGGCGGUUGGGGAUGGACUCGCGGCUUAUCAGCUUGUUGGUGGGGUAGUGGCUUACCAAGGCUUUGACGGGUAGCCGGCCUGAGAGGGUGACCGGCCACAUUGGGACUGAGAUACGGCCCAGACGCCUACGGGAGGAAGCAGUGGGGAAUAUUGCACAAUGGGCGGAAGCCUGAUGCAGCAACGCCGCGUGCGGGAUGACGGCCUUCGGGUUGUAAACCGCUUUCGCCUGUGACGAAGCGUGAGUGACGGUAAUGGGUAAAGAAGCACCGGCUAACUACGU